Molecule: long non-coding RNA, 514 nt
Organism: Drosophila willistoni
Lineage: Eukaryota; Metazoa; Arthropoda; Insecta; Diptera; Drosophilidae
Exons: 2
Source: RefSeq, a predicted model, not a curated record
UCAUAUUUUUUCUAAUUUUUCUCAUCAUCAUAAUUUUUAUUUAUCUCUUGGCGAAAUUUAGCGAUCAAAUUUAUUCCUAUAUCAUAUUGUGAAAGAUUUCGCUUAACUGUUUUGCCAUUCACAACUUUCUUUUGACUUAAUUUCUUCAUUGAAGUCUGUCUGUCUCCCACAUUUGAAGGGUUUAUAAUAAGAUGCGACCCCCCAAAGUAUUCUUUGAUUGACUAAUAAAAUGCUACGUGAGUUGAUUUGAAAAGGUAAUUUUGCUUGGACUUGGUUAGCAGCUCUCAGGCCGAGCAAGGGAAGCGUAUGUGACGCACAUAUUUAAGCAACACUUGGACGCCCUGGGGUAUGCAACGCAACGGCAGAUGUCACUCGAGAAUUGCUCGGCCAGGAACGAUGAUGAUGAUGAUGAUGAGGAUGAUGAUGAGAAGAAGGAGAAUGAUGUUGGAUAAAGAGUAGAAGUUGGACAGAAGUCAAACCGAAAACGAAUGUGAAAUAAAGUUUGUAAAACGUU